GACGAACGCUGGCGGCGUGCUUAACACAUGCAAGUCGAACGGAAAGGCCUCUUUCGGGGGGUACUCGAGUGGUGAACGGGUGAGUAACACGUGAGUAACCUGUCCUUGACUUUGGGAUAACUUCAGGAAACUGGGGCUAAUACCGGAUAGGAGCUCCUGCUGCAUGGUGGGGGUGGAAAGUUUCGGCGGUUGGGGAUGGACUCGCGGCUUAUCAGCUUGUUGGUGGGGUAGUGGCUUACCAAGGCUUUGACGGGUAGCCGGCCUGAGAGGGUGACCGGCCACAUUGGGACUGAGAUACGGCCCAGACUCCUACGGGAGGCAGCAGUGGGGAAUAUUGCACAAUGGGUGGAAGCCUGAUGCAGCAACGCCGUGUGCGGGAUGACGGCCUUCGGGUUGUAAACCGCUUUCGCUCAUGACGAAGCUUUGUGUGACGGUAGUGGGUAAAGAAGCACCGGCUAACUACGUG
This 466-nucleotide ribosomal RNA is filed under the name uncultured bacterium. RNAcentral's name for it is "partial 16S ribosomal RNA". It matches the Rfam family "Bacterial small subunit ribosomal RNA", at positions 28 to 507 of the family's 1533-position model. The record is from RNAcentral.